Molecule: ribosomal RNA, 807 nt
Filed under: uncultured bacterium
Lineage: Bacteria
Description: bacterial SSU rRNA
Rfam family: Bacterial small subunit ribosomal RNA
Source: RNAcentral
AGAGUUUGAUCCUGGCUCAGGAUGAACGCUGGCGGCGUGCCUAAUACAUGCAAGUCGAACGCUUUGUGGUCCAACUGAUUUGAAGAGCUUGCUCAGAUAUGACGAUGGACAUUGCAAAGAGUGGCGAACGGGUGAGUAACACGUGGGAAACCUACCUCUUAGCAGGGGAUAACACUUGGAAACAAGUGCUAAUACCGUAUAACACUAAUAACCGCAUGGUUAUUAGUUAAAAGAUGGUCUUGCUAUCACUAAGAGAUGGUCCCGCGGUGUAUUAGCUAGUUGGUAAGGUAAUGGCUUACCAAGGCAAUGAUACAUAGCCGAGUUGGGAGACUGAUCGGCCACAAUGGGACUGAGACACGGCCCAUACUCCUACGGGAGGCAGCAGUAGGGAAUCUUCCACAAUGGACGAAAGUCUGAUGGAGCAACGCCGCGUGUGUGAUGAAGGGUUUCGGCUCGUAAAACACUGUUGUAAGAGAAGAAUGACAUUGAGAGUAACUGUUCAGUGUGUGACGGUAUCUUACCAGAAAGGAACGGCUAAAUACGUGCCAGCAGCCGCGGUAAUACGUAUGUUCCAAGCGUUAUCCGGAUUUAUUGGGCGUAAAGCGAGCGCAGACGGUUAUUUAAGUCCGAAGUGAAAGCCCACAGCUUAACUGUGGAAGUGCUUUGGAAACUGGAUAACUUGAGUGCAGUAGAGGAGAGUGGAAACUCCAUGUGUAGCGGUGAAAUGCGUAGAUAUAUGGAAGAAUUAUCAGUGGGCGAAAGGCGGCUCUCUGGGACUGUAACUGACGUUGAGGCUCGAAAGUGUGG